This 549-nucleotide ribosomal RNA is filed under the name uncultured beta proteobacterium. Its description in RNAcentral is "bacterial SSU rRNA". It matches the Rfam family "Bacterial small subunit ribosomal RNA", at positions 355 to 897 of the family's 1533-position model. Lineage: Bacteria; Pseudomonadati; Pseudomonadota; Betaproteobacteria. The record is from RNAcentral.
UGGGGAAUUUUGGACAAUGGGGGCAACCCUGAUCCAGCCAUGCCGCGUGCGGGAAGAAGGCCUUCGGGUUGUAAACCGCUUUUGGCCGGGAAGAAAAGGCGCAGGUGAAUAGCUUGCGUUCUUGACGGUACCGGCAGAAUAAGCACCGGCUAACUACGUGCCAGCAGCCGCGGUAAUACGUAGGGUGCGAGCGUUAAUCGGAAUUACUGGGCGUAAAGCGUGCGCAGGCGGUUCGUUAAGUUCGUUGUGAAAGCCCCGGGCUCAACCUGGGAAUGGCAAUGGAAACUGGCGGGCUGGAGUGUGGCAGAGGGGGGUGGAAUUCCACGUGUAGCAGUGAAAUGCGUAGAGAUGUGGAGGAACACCGAUGGCGAAGGCAGCCCCCUGGGCCAACACUGACGCUCAGGCACGAAAGCGUGGGGAGCAAACAGGAUUAGAUACCCUGGUAGUCCACGCCCUAAACGAUGAUCACUGGGUGUUGGGGAAGCGAUUCCUUGGUACCGUAGCUAACGCGUGAAGUGAUCCGCCUGGGGAGUACGGCCGCAAGGUUAA